ACCGGGGGAACUGAAACAUCUAAGUACCCCGAGGAAAAGAAAUCAACCGAGAUUCCCCCAGUAGCGGCGAGCGAACGGGGAGCAGCCCAGAGUCUGAAUCAGCUUGUGUGUUAGUGGAACGGUCUGGAAAGUCCGACGGUACAGGGUGAUAGUCCCGUACACCAAAAUGCACAGGUUGUGAACUCGAAGAGUAGGGCGGGACACGUGGUAUCCUGUCUGAAUAUGGGGGGACCAUCCUCCAAGGCUAAAUACUCCUGACUGACCGAUAGUGAACCAGUACCGUGAGGGAAAGGCGAAAAGAACCCCGGCGAGGGGAGUGAAAAAGAACCUGAAACCGUGUACGUACAAGCAGUGGGAGCACCUUCGGGUGUGACUGCGUACCUUUUGUAUAAUGGGUCAGCGACUUAUAUUCUGUAGCAAGGUUAACCGUAUAGGGGAGCCGCAGGGAAACCGAGUCUUAACUGGGCGUUAAGUUGCAGGGUAUAGACCCGAAACCCGGUGAUCUAGCCAUGGGCAGGUUGAAGGUUGGGUAACACUAACUGGAGGACCGAACCGACUAAUGUUGAAAAAUUAGCGGAUGACUUGUGGCUGGGGGUGAAAGGCCAAUCAAACCGGGAGAUAGCUGGUUCUCCCCGAAAGCU
This 641-nucleotide ribosomal RNA is filed under the name Klebsiella pneumoniae. RNAcentral's name for it is "partial 23S ribosomal RNA". It matches the Rfam family "Bacterial large subunit ribosomal RNA", at positions 183 to 867 of the family's 2925-position model. The record is from RNAcentral. Lineage: Bacteria; Pseudomonadati; Pseudomonadota; Gammaproteobacteria; Enterobacterales; Enterobacteriaceae.